Molecule: ribosomal RNA, 101 nt
Filed under: Brevibacterium ravenspurgense
Lineage: Bacteria; Bacillati; Actinomycetota; Actinomycetes; Micrococcales; Brevibacteriaceae
Description: partial 23S ribosomal RNA
Rfam family: Bacterial large subunit ribosomal RNA
Source: RNAcentral
GUGAGUGUUCAAGGGCGCAUGGUGGAUGCCUUGGCAUCAAGAGCCGAUGAAGGACGCGGUAAUCUGCGAUAAGCCUCGGGGAGUUGGUAAACGAGCUGUGA